RNAcentral lists this long non-coding RNA (1098 nucleotides) under Homo sapiens (human). Its description in RNAcentral is "HSALNT0360182". Lineage: Eukaryota; Metazoa; Chordata; Mammalia; Primates; Hominidae. The record is from RNAcentral.
GUCACAGAGCUGGGAACUCGCUCAGAGCCAGGGUCUCUGCUGGGGUCAGCGUCUGUACGCUAAAGCCAGGGCGCAAAGUGCGUGGGCACUGCGGACACUAGAGGCUUAUGGCGCUGGAAAUACAAGGCCGAGUUGCCGGCGCAAAGAGUUCCCCGGGCGGGUUGGUGAUGCGGCGCGCUUUGAUAACAGGUUAAUCCGGCCAACAUUCGCUCCGCGAGAGAGCCAUCGGAGGGCUCCGGGAGACUGCGGCGCCACGGAGGGAGAGGCGGCGAGAGGCCCCUCUGCGAGCACCCUCUGGGCGCAGUGCGGUGGGCUAUGCUCUGCGCAGCCCCGGGCGCGCCUGGGUUCUCAGAGCCCAAGACCUGAGCCGCUCCGAGCGCAGGGCGCCAGUUCUCUUUCAGAAGCGGGAGAAGUUCAGGUGCCCAACACCUUGAUCAGUGCCUGCUUUGUAGUAGGCAUUCAAAUACUGUGGACUGGAUGAAUGGAGUCACUUCCCUUCCAACCUGCACACCAACGUGGUUGAACUGCCUCCUUUCUAAGUGCCAAAGUCUGUUUUACAAGGCUGCCCUGCUGUGCCCAUCUGGGCACCCAGUCCAGCCUCCCUUCCUGGGCGCCUUGACUCCCAACUGCAGAUGAAGUGUCUGGAAAUCAUGGUACUCAAGGUAGGAUCCACAUUGCCUGCCGGCCUAGGACCAAGAUCUGCAAGUCAGAACGAAACACCAGCUGUCCCUGUCUCCUGCACCCAUCCCCAUCCCGGAUAUCAAAGGAGCAUUACAAAAUAUUGUCUAACAGAAGUACCAGGGCUGGAUCCCAAAGUUUUGUGUAGAUCUUGAUAAAGAGUUUGGAUUUUAUUCUAACAAGAGUGAAGAGCAUGACAAUGUUUGCAGAAGAGUGAUGGCUUCUUUCAGGCAACAGUGACAAUUACACCUCCUCUUUUUCUCUUUGAUCCUCCACCCUCUCCCUCCAGCACCUGGUACAAAGCUGGGUACCCAGCAGACACUCUGUAAAUUAAAGUGCUGCCAGCCUGAACAAUCUCAGUGGAAGAGCUAAGUGGGUCCAUUUCCUUGCUUUACAAAUGAAGUCGCUGAGGCUCAGAGG